CGCUGUAGCUCAGUUGGUAGAGCAAUGGACUGAAAAUCCAUCUGUCGUUGGUUCGAUUCCAACCGGUGG
Molecule: transfer RNA, 69 nt
Filed under: uncultured Treponema sp.
Lineage: Bacteria; Pseudomonadati; Spirochaetota; Spirochaetia; Treponematales; Treponemataceae
Rfam family: tRNA
About the family: Transfer RNA (tRNA) molecules are approximately 80 nucleotides in length. Their secondary structure includes four short double-helical elements and three loops (D, anti-codon, and T loops). Further hydrogen bonds mediate the characteristic L-shaped molecular structure. tRNAs have two regions of fundamental functional importance: the anti-codon, which is responsible for specific mRNA codon recognition, and the 3' end, to which the tRNAs corresponding amino acid is attached (by aminoacyl-tRNA synthetases). tRNAs cope with the degeneracy of the genetic code in two manners: having more than one tRNA (with a specific anti-codon) for a particular amino acid; and 'wobble' base-pairing, i.e. permitting non-standard base-pairing at the 3rd anti-codon position.
Source: RNAcentral